Molecule: ribosomal RNA, 531 nt
Filed under: Austromitra analogica
Lineage: Eukaryota; Metazoa; Mollusca; Gastropoda; Neogastropoda; Costellariidae
Description: partial 16S ribosomal RNA
Rfam family: Bacterial large subunit ribosomal RNA
Source: RNAcentral
GCCUGUUUUUACAAAAACAUGGCUCUUUGUACAAAUAAAGAGUCGGGCCUGCCCGGUGAUUUUUUUAACGGCCGCGGUACUCUGACCGUGCAAAGGUAGCAUAAUCAUUUGCCUUGUAAUUUAAGGCUAGUAUGAAAGGUCUGACAAGAGUAUAACUGUCUCCUUUUGGUUAAGUAGAAUUUUAUCUAUAAGUGAAGAAGCUUAUAUAAUAUUAAUAGACAAGAAGACCCUAUCGAGCUUAAAAAGAAUUAAUAGAAAAACUUAAAAUCAAAUUUAAUCUACUAAAAAUUUUAGUUGGGGCGACUAAGGAACAAUUAAAGCUUCCUGACAGAAUUAGACAGGCGGUAAAAUGAUCCAAAAUUUUUGAUUAAAGAAAUUAGUUACCGUAGGGAUAACAGCAUUAUCUCUUUUAAGAGUUCUUAUCGAAAAAGAGGUUUGUGACCUCGAUGUUGGACCAGAAUAUCCUAAAGGUGUAGUGGCCUUUAAAGGUUAGUCUGUUCGACUAUCAAAAUUCUACGUGAUCUGAGUUCC